Molecule: long non-coding RNA, 331 nt
Organism: Gossypium arboreum
Lineage: Eukaryota; Viridiplantae; Streptophyta; Magnoliopsida; Malvales; Malvaceae
Exons: 3
Source: RefSeq, a predicted model, not a curated record
AAGUUUUGGAUUUGAUAGAACUUUCUACUAGUAGAGAUAAAGACAAGGAAAAGCUAGUUUGAGCUUUCAGCUUUUUGGCAAAAGCAUAAUUGAUUAGUUGUGUGUCGGUGUGAGCAGUGUGGUUCUGAAAGGUGAUCCAAGCAAGAAUUUUGUAUUAUUUUGUUUUUGGUUUGGUUUACCAGGAUUACAUGUUGUUAGUAUGCUUGAGUUCACAAAAAUGAGAAUGGUUUGAGUUUACUUGUUCGAACACGAUUUUUUGGUAUUGAACUGUUAAUUAGGCCGUUGAAUGAUUAUUUGUUGAAGUAAUUGAUGGAUGAUGCUUAGAAACUAA